RNAcentral lists this ribosomal RNA (253 nucleotides) under uncultured bacterium. Its description in RNAcentral is "partial 16S ribosomal RNA". It matches the Rfam family "Bacterial small subunit ribosomal RNA", at positions 524 to 776 of the family's 1533-position model. The record is from RNAcentral.
GACAGAGGGUGCAAACGUUGCUCGGAAUCACUGGGCGUAAAGGGCGUGUAGGCGGGAAGGAAAGUCAGAUGUGAAAUCCCUGGGCUCAACCCAGGAACUGCAUUUGAAACUCCCUUUCUUGAGUACCGGAGAGGAAGGUGGAAUUCCUGGUGUAGAGGUGAAAUUCGUAGGUAUCAGGAGGAACACCGGUGGCGAAGGCGGCCUUCUGGACGGUAACUGACGCUGAGACGCGAAAGCGUGGGGAGCAAACAGG